CCAUUGGUUGUGGUGGUGCCGCCGUUGCGCUUUCAGCCAUUGGUUGUGGUGGUGGUGCUAUCGCUGCGGUUUCUGCCAUUGGUCGUGUCCGGACUGAUCGCCGGCUUGUGAUGGGGAUCGAUCACCGGCGAGUCCCCGACGUUUCUUGUGAUUGUGUGGACGUGGGAAGAAGCAGCCGCGGGGAUGCAGACAAUAGCUUUGGCUUCCCCGCUUCACCGGAAUGGGGACGCAUGACUCGUCUCAGGCAGAACCAAAAUAAGGGUGCAUGUUACAUGAACGUGUGGCUUUCUGCGAGUACGUACAUUAAAAUGGAGAAGGUCUAUAUCAGGGGCGUGUCUUUAAUGCGCGCCACGGACCGUUCGCAUGAAUGGGUCACUGGGCAAACCAUUUUAUCGGAUGGUGCUGGUCACAUCCAGUUUUUGGAUGCAUAAUGAAAACAGAGGGAAAACAAAGGGAACACCAAAUGAACACAAAUUCGCGAUGACCAUGGUGAAAGAGAAACUAAACUCUACCAUGCAUGGGAUAUUGCAUCUUGUUGGAGAUUCUUGCGCAUACGUGAUUAUCUUCUCUGCGUGC
This 576-nucleotide long non-coding RNA is filed under the name Hordeum vulgare. RNAcentral's name for it is "long non-coding RNA (HVUL_LNC006021)". Lineage: Eukaryota; Viridiplantae; Streptophyta; Magnoliopsida; Poales; Poaceae. The record is from RNAcentral.